GACCCAGCUGCUCUGGUGACUGAGGUGUGGGUCGAGUGGCCGGGGGCCUCUGCCCAUCGCCCUGCCGGCUGGGAGGCGGUCCCAGGGCCUGUUCCAGGCUGCCUGUGGAGAAAGGCAGCGCUCUUGGUUUCCGUGGUGAUGGCCUGCAAACGCCCUCCCGGGCUCCGGGCACCUGCCUGGAGGGGGUGGGGUCUGGUAGCUGAGAGGGAUGAGGGGGGAAGCUCUGCUUCCCCUCCCCCAGGGCCCCGCCGCGCGUCUGAUUGGCAGCAGGAGCUCACGGUCUGAAAUGCGCCAGCGCCCGGCUCUGACCUGGGAAGCGUCGAAGGAUGAGGCCUGGGCUGGACUCCACUACUGCACGAAGUGGACAGAACCCUGCCCCAAUCCUGCCCCCACCUCAAUUUGCAGAGUGACCUUGGAAGGACUGUGGUGGCAACUACCAGGAACAGAAAGCCAGACCAACAUGUUACCCAAAGUGGGGUCCGGCUGCUCGCCGAUCUAAAGCCAAUCCUCGAGAGGCAAAGCUGGUUGAAAGGAAAAUUUGCUUUAUUCCGGAGGCCGGCAACUGGAGGGGAGGGAGGACUUGUAUCCAAAGGCCAAGUCCCCCCUGAAGAUCAGUGGGCAAGAGGUUGUUUUUUUUUUGCGGUACGCAGGCCUCUCACUGUUGUGGCCUCUCCCGUUGCGGAGCACAGGCUCCGGAUGCACAGGCUCAGCGGCCAUGGCUCACGGGCCCAGCCGCUCCGCGGCAUGUGGGAUCUUCCUGGACCGGGGCACGAACCCGCGUCCCCUGCAUCGGCAGGCGGACUCUCACCCACUGCGCCACCAGGGAAGCCCCGGGCGAGAGCUUUUAAAGGGGAGUUUCAGGGGUGUAUAAGGGGAGGGAGGGGGCUACAUGCAGAACAGCACAGUCAGCUCUGACAGUCACCUUGAAAUCGGUCAUCGGUGGUCUGACCAGCGUCAUCUUGAUUGUUUAAGUGCAGUUAGUCUUCAGGUCCAGGGCUGGUUUGUUGCCAUUUCUUUGAGACCAGCUGUCGAAAUUGUGGCAGCUUGUGUCAUGGCUAGAGGCUGACCACCAUGCAGUUAACUUCUUGCUGGUGGCGGUUUCGGCAUCUACAAAACAGCUCACAGGACGUGGCUCAGAACAGUAUCUCCAGCCCUUGAGGAGGAACUAAAAGUCCUUGACUCUGCUCUGAACUAUUAUUAUUCUGUCCUGUCUGUCUGUUUUCCUUUGCUUCUGCAUUUUCUCACUUCGCUGAUUAAACUUAUUCUUUGUCUAAAGUUUUUCCACAGACAAAAGGCAGGUGGAGGACCUGGGGGGCAGGGGGUGGGGGAAGGACCACAGGGUCCUGCUCUGUUUCAAACAGAGGACUCAGCAGGGCAGUUCACUGUCUCACGGUGGCACGCUGCUGCAGACGCUUCCCGAAGACGUCCAGGUCUUUAUUCUCGGAACCUGUGAAUGCCAUCUUACCUGGAAAAAGGGACUUUGCAGAUGGGAGAGGCGGAGGAGAUAUGACAAGAGGAUGGAAGAGAGAAGGAGAUGUGACCAUAGAGGAGAAGUUGGAGUGAUGCAGCCACGAACAAGCCAGGGAAUGAAGGCAGCCGCCGGACGCUGGAGAAGGCAAGGAAGGGAUUCUCCCCAAGGGCCUCCAGAGGAGGCACAGCCCUGCCAACACCUUGGUUUCAGCCGAAUGAAACCCAUUUCAACUGCUGAUUCCAGACUUCUGAGGGAAUACAUUUCGACUGCUUUAAGCCAACCAAUUAGUGGUAAUUUUUAUACAGCAUCAACAGGAAACUAAGACACUCCUGAAACAAGAAGUAUGGAGACGGGCAUCACUGGCGCUGAGAAAGAGGCAAUGAUGUCCUCAAGGACAUAGGCUCCUCUCCUUUCCCUCAACCAUCCUUGAAUGUUGGCUAUUUGUCCUUUGGCUUGUCGCCUCAUGGACAUAAACUGGUUGCCAUAGCUCCAGGCAUCACAUCUUCACUUGACAGCAUCUAAAGCAGGAAGAGAUGAAAGUUGGGGUGGGAGGGGUGGCUUCUCCUUAUGUGGUCCUGUCUUUCAUCAAAAAGGAAAAUCUCUUCCAGAAGCCACUCAGUGUACUUCCUAGGCUGGUCCAACCAAGGGCACAUGGCUACUCUGGGCCAGUUGAUCGCAAAGGGAAUAGACAGCUCUGAUUGGCUUAGACCAAUCCCAAGUCACGUCCAGGCCGGGCACAGUCUCCCCCUGCACAAGCAGGCUCUGUUGGCAAGUUGACGAGGGGACGCGUCUGGGUGCUCAGCCUAUGUCAGAGAGUUAGCAGUGGGAUGGGCUCAGGCCGUGGCCUCCUGGGUCCCCCCACCCAGCUGCCUCCCUAGGGCACCCCCUACUGCCUGUCUCUGGAGGGGUCACCACCCUGCCUUGGCAGGACAGCGACACCCGCCUAAUGUCACACACCCAGCAGGCAGGCCCUCUGCCCACAGGGACCUGGCUGCCCACGCCUCCCUGAGGGUCUCCCUUCCGUGGCUCCUGCGUCCUCCCCUCAACUGACAAGUCUGUUUCGGCCUGGAAGGAAACCGAGGCCUGUCAUGUUAACAUUAACCCACCAGGACUCCGUGCCCCUCUCACCCCCUUCCUCCCCUCCUGGGGGCUUCCCAGGCAUCUCCAGGCUCUGGACUUCCUGGCUCUGCCUCUUGUCCAUGUCGGCCGCCUUACCAGCCCUGACCCGAAGGACUCCUUCCUCCAGGCUGCCGGGUGGCUCCUGCCAAGGUCAGUGUGACCCAGCCCUCCUUGGCCUGAAGCCCCACGUCCUCAUGACCACAACCCCUGCUGCCCGGAAAAGACAGACAGGCCCCCGGGGACCCUGUGCUCAUGGGCCGUGGGGCAGAGGAGGGCUCUCGGCAGGUUUCAGAGGAGGAGGUUACGUGGGGGCUGUGGUGGGGAGAGCCCUGGGGCUGGGGGGUAGCAGCGCCUGGUCCCACUGCCCUGAACUGGGACACUCGGUGCCCCGGGUCCUGGGCAGCCGGGGUGGCUGCCUUUCCUGCUGUUUCCUGUCCUCCCAGCCCCUGAGCCCCCAGAGUCCAACCCACCCAUGCGGCCUUGUCCCUGGAGACCCAGCUGGCUUGCCCCGUCCUGGACAGUCCCUCUGGGCCUCCCCCGGGGCCCGAGGUGCCUGCCCACGUAGGACUCACUCGCUGGGUGGCCCCCUUCCUCCUCACGGUACCCCUGUCCCGAGAGCCCCUCCAGGGCCCAGGCCGGCCCCCACCUUGACCGGGGCCCUUCGGUGAACAAAUGGGCAAGUGAUGAGCUCCUCCCCCACCGCUGUCAGGGCCUCCUCUGGCCUCUGCACACCCAGGGCCCCAGCCCCUCGGCGCACCUCUGCCCGUCCGGGAGGAUUCCCAGGUCGGUGGGAAGGGGCCGCCUGGGAGCCCAGGGUGAGGGCUUCUGCUCCCCUGCCCGUGCCCACCGUGGAAGUCUUUUUGGGCGCCGGCCAGUCUCCGCCAAGCCUCAAACUCGGGAGCUGCUGAAACCAUCCUCUGCUGUCACGGGCCUCUCGCCGCCACUUCUACAAAUGUGUCCUGUGUCCCCCUCCCGGGUUCUUACGAUGCCCUUGGUGUUCGGCCGUCCACCAGUCCAGUCUGGCUGCGGUUCAAAAGCCUGGCAGGGCUGAAGGGGCCCCUUGGACUUGGACCCGGCAGGGGUGAGCCACAGCUGGCUCUGCACGGGGCCUCCCCGGGCCCCUCGGGGUGAGCUGUCCUGGGGGGCAUUUCCUGCUCUCCUCAGACCCCCUGGGCAGGGGCCAUGUCCACAGCGGGGCCCUUGCUGGGGCUCUAGUGCGUGGCAGCUCUUUGAGCCUGGUGCCCUUCCUAGUGUUAUUUUUAUUUAUGUACCUGAAUCCUCCAAACAGCUGCUUUACUGAGAUUCAUCC
Orcinus orca (killer whale) is the source of this 3899-nucleotide long non-coding RNA. RefSeq lists it as uncharacterized. The transcript is spliced from 4 exons. The record is from RefSeq and is a predicted model, not a curated record. NCBI's taxonomy places the organism in Eukaryota, Metazoa, Chordata, Mammalia, Artiodactyla, Delphinidae.